RNAcentral lists this ribosomal RNA (739 nucleotides) under uncultured Cercozoa. Its description in RNAcentral is "bacterial SSU rRNA". It matches the Rfam family "Eukaryotic small subunit ribosomal RNA", at positions 402 to 1142 of the family's 1831-position model. Lineage: Eukaryota; Cercozoa. The record is from RNAcentral.
AACAGCUACCACAUCCAAGGAAGGCAGCAGGCGCGCAAAUUACCCAAUCUGACACAGGGAGGUAGUGACAAAAAAUAACAAUACCGGGCAUUUAUAUGUCUGGUAAUUGGAAUGAGUACAAUUUAAAUCCCUUAACGAGGAUCAAUUGGAGGACAAGUCUGGUGCCAGCACCCGCGGUAAUUCCAGCUCCAAUAGCGUAUAUUAAAGUUGUUGCAGUUAAAAAGCUCGUAGUUGGAUUUCUGAGCGUGUGCGCCUGCCCCACUGGGGUAACCCAGCGAGUGGUGGUGUGCGCCGUUCAUAUGGGAAGAAUCUUCAUUGCCGGUCAAACGGUGAUGACAGACCUCCCGCUAUACUUUGAAAAAAUUAGAGUGUUUAAAGCAGGCUUGCGCUAUGAAUACAUUAGCAUGGAAUAUUAAUUUAGGACUUUGUUUCUAUUUUAUUGGUUUCUAGGAAUAAAGUAAUGAUUGAUAGGGAUAGUUGGGGGUGCUAGUAUUCAUCGGCCAGAGGUGAAAUUCUUGGAUUCGAUGAAGACUAACUAAUGCGAAAGCAUUCACCAAGGAUGUCUUCUUUAAUCAAGAACGAAAGUUGGGGGAUCGAAGACGAUCAGAUACCGUCGUAGUCUCAACCAUAAACUAUACCGACUAGGGAUUAGGGAAAGUUGCUAUUACGACUUCCUUAGCACCUUAUGAGAAAUCAGAAGUCUUUGGGUUCUGGGGGGAGUAUGGUCGCAAGGCUGAAA